This 379-nucleotide ribosomal RNA is filed under the name Staphylococcus aureus. RNAcentral's name for it is "bacterial SSU rRNA". It matches the Rfam family "Bacterial small subunit ribosomal RNA", at positions 328 to 699 of the family's 1533-position model. The record is from RNAcentral. Lineage: Bacteria; Bacillati; Bacillota; Bacilli; Caryophanales; Staphylococcaceae.
GGUCCAGACUCCUACGGGAGGCAGCAGUAGGGAAUCUUCCGCAAUGGGCGAAAGCCUGACGGAGCAACGCCGCGUGAGUGAUGAAGGUCUUCGGAUCGUAAAACUCUGUUAUUAGGGAAGAACAUAUGUGUAAGUAACUGUGCACAUCUUGACGGUACCUAAUCAGAAAGCCACGGCUAACUACGUGCCAGCAGCCGCGGUAAUACGUAGGUGGCAAGCGUUAUCCGGAAUUAUUGGGCGUAAAGCGCGCGUAGGCGGUUUUUUAAGUCUGAUGUGAAAGCCCACGGCUCAACCGUGGAGGGUCAUUGGAAACUGGAAAACUUGAGUGCAGAAGAGGAAAGUGGAAUUCCAUGUGUAGCGGUGAAAUGCGCAGAGAUAU